This 274-nucleotide ribosomal RNA is filed under the name uncultured bacterium. Its description in RNAcentral is "partial 16S ribosomal RNA". It matches the Rfam family "Bacterial small subunit ribosomal RNA", at positions 523 to 796 of the family's 1533-position model. The record is from RNAcentral.
AUACGGAGGGUGCAAGCGUUAAUCGGAAUUACUGGGCGUAAAGCGUACGUAUGCGGUUAUUUAAGUCAGAUGUGAAAGCCCCGGGCUUAACUUGGGAACUGCAUUUGAAACUGGGUAACUAGAGUUUAGUAGAGGGGAGUGGAAUUUCAGGUGUAGCGGUGAAAUGCGUAGAGAUCUGAAGGAACACCAGUGGCGAAGGCGACUCCCUGGACUAAAACUGUCGCUGAGGUACGAAAGCGUGGGUAGCAAACAGGAUUAGAAACCCCGGUAGUCC